CGGCAACAGCUCAAAUUUGAAAUCGGGUCCCCCUCCUCGGGGGGCCCGAGUUGUAAUUUGCAGAGGACGCUUCUGGCAACGCGCCUUCCGAGUCCCCUGGAACGGGGCGCCGCAGAGGGUGAGAGCCCCGUACGGUCGGACGCCGCGCCUGUGCGAAGCUCCUUCGA
Molecule: ribosomal RNA, 167 nt
Filed under: Microascaceae sp.
Lineage: Eukaryota; Fungi; Ascomycota; Sordariomycetes; Microascales; Microascaceae
Description: partial large subunit ribosomal RNA
Rfam family: Eukaryotic large subunit ribosomal RNA
Source: RNAcentral